AAUAGAUACCCUGGUAGUCCACGCCCUAAACGAUGUCUACUAGUUGUCGGGGGGUAACUCCUUCGGUAACGCAGCUAACGCGUGAAGUAGACCGCCUGGGGAGUACGGUCGCAAGAUUAAAACUCAAAGGAAUUGACGGGGACCCGCACAAGCGGUGGAUGAUGUGGAUUAAUUCGAUGCAACGCGAAAAACCUUACCUACCCUUGACAUGCCACUAACGAAGCAAAGAUGCAUUAGGUGCCCGAAAGGGAAAGUGGACACAGGUGCUGCAUGGCUGUCGUCAGCUCGUGUCGUGAGAUGUUGGGUUAAGUCCCGCAACGAGCGCAACCCUUGCCAAUAGUUGCUACGAAAGGGCACUCUAUUGGGACUGCCGGUGACAAACCGGAGGAAGGUGGGGAUGACGUCAAGUCCUCAUGGCCCUUAUGGGUAGGGCUUCACACGUCAUACAAUGGCUGGUACAGAGGGUUGCCAACCCGCGAGGGGGGAGCCAAAUCCCACAAAACCAGUCGUAGUCCGGAUUGCAGUCUGCAACUCGACUGCA
Molecule: ribosomal RNA, 541 nt
Filed under: uncultured bacterium
Lineage: Bacteria
Description: bacterial SSU rRNA
Rfam family: Bacterial small subunit ribosomal RNA
Source: RNAcentral